UGGGGGAUAUUGCACAAUGGGCGAAAGCCUGAUGCAGCGACGCCGCGUGGGGGACGAAGGCUUUCGGUUUGUAAACCUCUUUCGCUAUCGAACAAGGCCCGCUUAGGGUGGGUUGAGGGUAGGUGGAGAAGAAGCGCCGGCUAACUACGUGCCAGCAGCCGCGGUAAUACGUAGGUCGCGAGCGUUUUCCGGAAUUAUUGGGCGUAAAGGGCUUGUAGGCGGCUUGUUGCGCCUGCUGUGAAAACGCGGGGCUUAACUUCGCGCGUGCCUUGGGUACGGGCAGGCUUGAGUGUGGUAGGGGUGACUGGAAUUCCAGGUGUAGCGGUGGAAUGCGCAGAUAUCUGGAGGAACACCGAUGGCGAAGGCAGGUCACUGGGCCAUUACUGACGCUGAGGAGCGAAAGCAUGGGUAGCGAACAG
This 419-nucleotide ribosomal RNA is filed under the name bacterium. RNAcentral describes it as "partial 16S ribosomal RNA". It matches the Rfam family "Bacterial small subunit ribosomal RNA", at positions 355 to 775 of the family's 1533-position model. The record is from RNAcentral.